This 584-nucleotide ribosomal RNA is filed under the name Pseudomonas sp. CAH-1. RNAcentral describes it as "bacterial SSU rRNA". It matches the Rfam family "Bacterial small subunit ribosomal RNA", at positions 1 to 580 of the family's 1533-position model. Lineage: Bacteria; Pseudomonadati; Pseudomonadota; Gammaproteobacteria; Pseudomonadales; Pseudomonadaceae. The record is from RNAcentral.
GAACUGAAGAGUUUGAUCAUGGCUCAGAUUGAACGCUGGCGGCAGGCCUAACACAUGCAAGUCGAGCGGAUGACGGGAGCUUGCUCCUUGAUUCAGCGGCGGACGGGUGAGUAAUGCCUAGGAAUCUGCCUGGUAGUGGGGGACAACGUUUCGAAAGGAACGCUAAUACCGCAUACGUCCUACGGGAGAAAGCAGGGGACCUUCGGGCCUUGCGCUAUCAGAUGAGCCUAGGUCGGAUUAGCUUGUUGGUGAGGUAAUGGCUCACCAAGGCGACGAUCCGUAACUGGUCUGAGAGGAUGAUCAGUCACACUGGAACUGAGACACGGUCCAGACUCCUACGGGAGGCAGCAGUGGGGAAUAUUGGACAAUGGGCGAAAGCCUGAUCCAGCCAUGCCGCGUGUGUGAAGAAGGUCUUCGGAUUGUAAAGCACUUUAAGUUGGGAGGAAGGGCAGUAAGCUAAUACCUUGCUGUUUUGACGUUACCGACAGAAUAAGCACCGGCUAACUCUGUGCCAGCAGCCGCGGUAAUACAGAGGGUGCAAGCGUUAAUCGGAAUUACUGGGCGUAAAGCGCGCGUAGGUGGUU